This 581-nucleotide long non-coding RNA is filed under the name Marmota monax (woodchuck). The record is from RNAcentral. Lineage: Eukaryota; Metazoa; Chordata; Mammalia; Rodentia; Sciuridae.
CACACCUACCCAGAUCCUUUCCCGCCCUUCUGUCCAGGCCCAGCUCUCCAUCUUGGUUGAAGAAAACAAAACUUAUUUCUGAGGAGAAUGGCAUUCCUUCUAAAUUUAAAUUAAAUUGAAUCUUAUUUUUGAAAGUUAAAAUUUUUGACAGUCAUACAAUUAUUGGUAAAUUGGGAGAUGACUGUAGGUGUGAUGAGAGCCCAGAUGUGGGCAAAGUGUAUGGGGAGAAUCCAAACUUGAGGAUACUCCUCAUCAGACCCACCAUCCUCCCAUGAUCCACUGCUGCAUUGUACAACUGAAGCAUCUCUGGAUUAAGGAAAAAAAUUCAAGGUCCAAGAGCCACGUUUACAGUGUGUUCUUUCCACUCUCACCCAGCACCUCAUCCUCCCCAGGGGUUCUGAACCCCGUGGGGUGGAGGCAGGGUAGAGGAAGGCACCCCUGCUGUGGUGAGACCAGUUUGCAGCUUGCAUUGCAGCCCUACUGAACAGAAGGGGAAGCCACAGGAGAGAAAAAAAAUAAUGAUGCACUCCAGCAGUUCUCACGUCCUGUAGCAAAGCAUGGGUCCUGUUGCUGUAGCUUGA